Molecule: ribosomal RNA, 460 nt
Filed under: uncultured bacterium
Lineage: Bacteria
Description: partial 16S ribosomal RNA
Rfam family: Bacterial small subunit ribosomal RNA
Source: RNAcentral
CCUACGUGUGGCAGCAGUGAGGAAUAUUGGUCAAUGGGCGCGAGCCUGAACCAGCCAAGUAGCGUGAAGGAUGACUGCCCUACGGGUUGUAAACUUCUUUUAUAAAGGAAUAACGUGAGGCCCGUGUGCCUUUUUGUAUGUACUUUAUGAAUAAGGAUCGGCUAACUCCGUUCCAGCAGCCGCGGUAAUACGGAGGAUCCGAGCGUUAUCCGGAUUUAUUGGGUUUAAAGGGAGCGUAGAUGGGUUGUUAAGUCAGUUGUGCAAGUUUGCGGCUCAACCGUAAAAUUGCAAUUGAUACUGGCAGUCUUGAGUACAGGUGAGGUAGGCGGAAUUCGUGGUGUAGCGGUGAAAUGCUUAGAUAUCACGAAGAACUCCGAGUGCGAAGGCAGCUUACUAGACUGCCACUGACAUUGAUGCUCGAAAGUGUGGGUAUCAAACAGGAUUAGAUACCCGUGUAGUC